Molecule: ribosomal RNA, 404 nt
Filed under: Fusobacteriota bacterium
Lineage: Bacteria; Fusobacteriati; Fusobacteriota
Description: Fusobacteria bacterium partial 16S ribosomal RNA
Rfam family: Bacterial small subunit ribosomal RNA
Source: RNAcentral
UGGGGAAUAUUGCACAAUGGAGGGAACUCUGAUGCAGCGACGCCGCGUGAGUGAUGAAGGACUUCGUUUCGUAAAACUCUGUUCUAUGGGAAGAAAAGGACUGUACCAUAGGAGAAAGCUCCGGCUAAAUACGUGCCAGCAGCCGCGGUAAUACGUAUGGAGCGAGCGUUGUCCGGAAUUAUUGGGCGUAAAGGGUGCGCAGGCGGCUUUACAAGUUGGAUGUGAAAUAUUGUGGCUCAACCACAAACGUGCAUCCAAAACUGCAAAGCUUGAGUUAAGGAGAGGUAAGUGGAAUUCCUGGGGUAGCGGUGGAAUGCGUAGAUAUCAGGAGGAAUACCGGUGGCGAAGGCGACUUACUGGACUUAAACUGACGCUCAGGCACGAAAGCGUGGGGAGCAAACAGG